RNAcentral lists this ribosomal RNA (241 nucleotides) under uncultured bacterium. Its description in RNAcentral is "partial 16S ribosomal RNA". It matches the Rfam family "Bacterial small subunit ribosomal RNA", at positions 81 to 339 of the family's 1533-position model. The record is from RNAcentral.
AUGUAUUUAUUUACAUGGCGAACUGGUGAGUAUGACAGUGGAACCUGCCCCCAUCUCAGGGAUAACCCAUCGAAAGGUGGGAUAAUACCUGAUAGUCUCGCAAGAGUAAAGCUCCGGCGGAUGGGGAGGGGCCUUUGUGCUAUCAGCUUGUUGGUGAGGUAAAAGCUCACCAAGGCUACGACGGCUAGCUGGUCUGAGAGGAUGAUCAGCCACAUCGGGACUGAGAUACGGCCCAGACUCC